Molecule: ribosomal RNA, 434 nt
Filed under: uncultured bacterium
Lineage: Bacteria
Description: partial 16S ribosomal RNA
Rfam family: Bacterial small subunit ribosomal RNA
Source: RNAcentral
AGCGAACGCUGGCGGCAGGCCUAACACAUGCAAGUCGAACGAACCUUUCGGGGUUAGUGGCGGACGGGUGAGUAACACGUGGGAACGUGCCUUUAGGUUCGGAAUAACUCAGGGAAACUUGUGCUAAUACCGAAUGUGCCCUUCGGGGGAAAGAUUAAUCGCCUUUAGAGCGGCCCGCGUCUGAUUAGCUAGUUGGUUGAGGUAAUGGCUCACCAAGGCGACGAUCAGUAGCUGGUCUGAGAGGAUGAUCAGCCACAUUGGGACUGAGACACGGCCCAAACUCCUACGGGAGGCAGCAGUGGGGAAUCUUGCGAAAUGGGCGAAAGCAUGACGCAGCCAUGCCGCGUGAAUGAUGAAGGUCUUAGGAUUGUAAAAUUCUUUCACCGGGGACGAUAAUGACGGUACCCGGAGAAGAAGCCCCGGCUAACUUCGUG